GAUGAACGCUGGCGGCGUGCUUAACACAUACAAGUCGAGCGAGAAGUUUUGAAAAGAUUCUUCGGAUGAAAUUUAAAAUGGAAAGCGGCGGACGGGUGAGUAACGCGUAGGCAACCUGCCCCAUACAAAGGGAUAGCAUUUGGAAACGAAUAUUAAUACCUUAUGAAACUUAACUAGUGCAUGCUAGGUAGGUCAAAGAUUUAUCGGUAUGGGAUGGGCCUGCGUCUGAUUAGCUAGUUGGUGAGGUAACGGCUCACCAAGGCGACGAUCAGUAGCCGACCUGAGAGGGUGAACGGCCACAUUGGAACUGAGACACGGUCCAAACUCCUACGGGAGGCAGCAGUGGGGAAUAUUGCACAAUGGGGGAAACCCUGAUGCAGCAACGCCGCGUGAACGAUGAAGGCCUUUGGGUCGUAAAGUUCUGUUCUAGGUGAUGAAAA
RNAcentral lists this ribosomal RNA (440 nucleotides) under [Eubacterium] brachy. RNAcentral describes it as "bacterial SSU rRNA". It matches the Rfam family "Bacterial small subunit ribosomal RNA", at positions 28 to 451 of the family's 1533-position model. Lineage: Bacteria; Bacillati; Bacillota; Clostridia; Peptostreptococcales; Anaerovoracaceae. The record is from RNAcentral.